This 489-nucleotide ribosomal RNA is filed under the name uncultured bacterium. Its description in RNAcentral is "partial 16S ribosomal RNA". It matches the Rfam family "Bacterial small subunit ribosomal RNA", at positions 30 to 506 of the family's 1533-position model. The record is from RNAcentral.
AUUGAACGCUGGCGGCAGGCCUAACACAUGCAAGUCGAACGGUAACAGGAAGAAGCUUGCUUCUUUGCUGACGAGUGGCGGACGGGUGAGUAAUGUCUGGGAAACUGCCUGAUGGAGGGGGAUAACUACUGGAAACGGUAGCUAAUACCGCAUAACGUCGCAAGACCAAAGAGGGGGACCUUCGGGCCUCUUGCCAUCGGAUGUGCCCAGAUGGGAUUAGCUAGUAGGUGGGGUAACGGCUCACCUAGGCGACGAUCCCUAGCUGGUCUGAGAGGAUGACCAGCCACACUGGAACUGAGACACGGUCCAGACUCCUACGGGAGGCAGCAGUGGGGAAUAUUGCACAAUGGGCGCAAGCCUGAUGCAGCCAUGCCGCGUGUAUGAAGAAGGCCUUCGGGUUGUAAAGUACUUUCAGCGGGGAGGAAGGGAGUAAAGUUAAUACCUGUGCUCAUUGACGUUACCCGAAGAAGAAGCACCGGCUAACUCCGU